RNAcentral lists this ribosomal RNA (672 nucleotides) under uncultured Alphaproteobacteria bacterium. RNAcentral's name for it is "bacterial SSU rRNA". It matches the Rfam family "Bacterial small subunit ribosomal RNA", at positions 41 to 757 of the family's 1533-position model. The record is from RNAcentral. Lineage: Bacteria; Pseudomonadati; Pseudomonadota; Alphaproteobacteria.
GGCAGGCUUAACACAUGCAAGUCGAACGGGCUUCUUCGGAAGUCAGUGGCAGACGGGUGAGUAACACGUGGGAACGUGCCCUUCGGUUCGGAAUAACUCAGGGAAACUUGAGCUAAUACCGGAUACGCCCUUAUGGGGAAAGGUUUACUGCCGAAGGAUCGGCCCGCGUCUGAUUAGCUUGUUGGUGGGGUAACGGCCUACCAAGGCGACGAUCAGUAGCUGGUCUGAGAGGAUGAUCAGCCACACUGGGACUGAGACACGGCCCAGACUCCUACGGGAGGCAGCAGUGGGGAAUAUUGGACAAUGGGCGCAAGCCUGAUCCAGCCAUGCCGCGUGAGUGAUGAAGGCCUUAGGGUUGUAAAGCUCUUUUGUCCGGGACGAUAAUGACGGUACCGGAAGAAUAAGCCCCGGCUAACUUCGUGCCAGCAGCCGCGGUAAUACGAAGGGGGCUAGCGUUGCUCGGAAUCACUGGGCGUAAAGGGCGCGUAGGCGGCCGAUUAAGUCGGGGGUGAAAGCCUGUGGCUCAACCACAGAAUUGCCUUCGAUACUGGUUGGCUUGAGACCGGAAGAGGACAGCGGAACUGCGAGUGUAGAGGUGAAAUUCGUAGAUAUUCGCAAGAACACCAGUGGCGAAGGCGGCUGUCUGGUCCGGUUCUGACGCUGAGGCGCGAA